Non-coding RNA from Drosophila virilis, 1670 nucleotides. Lineage: Eukaryota; Metazoa; Arthropoda; Insecta; Diptera; Drosophilidae. The record is from RefSeq and is a predicted model, not a curated record.
GCUGCAGAGAAAUAAGAGAAGAAACAUGCAUCAAGACAAACGCUCGAGUAUUAUAAAUGAAUGACUGAACAGGAAAUUAGUUUCACAAAAUGAAAAGGCAAGUUUCGCAAAGGGGCAAGUCACCCACAUAAUUAUACCCUGUACCCAUUGCAAAAUGGAUAUAAAAAAGCGUAUGUUGCGCUAACGCGAAUAUAUAUAACACGCAGCAGGCAGGAUUUAACUUCGGCUUUAAAAAGUACUGUAUAUAUCCUUAAGCACCAACAAUAGCCAAGUCGAUCUGGCGACCAUAUAAGGUAGUUUGAACAUUUAGAGCAUAGAUUUUUCAAUGACACACACAGAGCAGGUUUCUUAGCAAUAGAUCCUCGUUUUUUCCAAAAUACGUAAUUAAAGAUUUUUGAGACAGUUUUUGAAUAAAAUAAAUAAAAAAUGGUCUGAGAUACAAAAUAUGGUAUGUAGAUGCUCGUGUAGCACAAACACUCGCGAAAGUCCGGAGCUGCUACAGGGUAUCUGCUAGUUGGGCAACUAAAUAGACACACUCUCGACUUUUUUUUUUUUGGCAAGCUUGCCUCAAUACGCCGCCUUUUUGGUAUGCAUACUCAUUAAUCUACUACUACUUCCCUCCGGCUACGUCCCUAUGCCAUCUCUCCUUUCAUUGUUUCGCAGCGUGUAGCAUGAUGAUCAACAACAUAAUUAUCAACAUCUUCAGCCUCCGAAAUUGUUUCGUUUGUGUGUUUCUGGCACACCGAAAUUUUCGGUUCGUCUGGCCGCCAUUAAAGCGCGCAUUGUCUGCAAAACUUAAAGCUCAGCCGGUGGGCCAAUCAGGUUGCAGCAACUAUUCGCAAUGACUUCCAUGUUUUGAACUUUGUGUUUGCUCAAAUGCAACUCUGCCUAUAAUUGACACAUCGAUAUAACUGCUCGAAUUUGCCAAUGCAAUAGUCAAGUUACUUUAAAUAGCAAGCCAUGUGGUACUUGUUGUUGGUUAUGGCAAGAGCAAUUCAAUUAACUCAAGGUGGUCAGCAAUAGGAAGAGCAGCAUAAGCAACAGGCAAUACAAAUAAAACAAAACGCAGAUAAGCAUUUGACGACACAUUUGUGUGUGUGUGUGUGUACCACGUUGCCAACUAUAGCAAAGUUACAAGCAGCGCUGACAAAGCCAAUUAGCAAGAUCUAACGGUAGUUCAAGCAACUUCUUAUAAGUAAAUAACGCAAAACGAAAGAGAGACGCACAACAAAGUCCAAGCUUAGACUACACAGACACACACACACACACAUAUAUAUGUAUACAUGCACAUGAACUCGAAUCGAGGAAAUGACGUUUUCAGUUUAUUUUUGGUCGCUUAACCAUCGACAAAUAAUAUUUAACGAUUUUUGGACUAGCUGCUGAACACAGGGCGAUACACAAUUUAAUGAAAACUGACCAAACGAGUUCAAGCGUUGAAAUUUGCUUCUUUUUUUUUUGCGGCGACGUCGGCAUUGAAACUAGACAUGAGUCACGCGCUUGGAGCGCAGUGCGAGAGCAAAGACAGCCUUAAUCAGCUGUUGGGACAUUCUCUCGCGGAGGAACUGUGGCAAAACCAAGACACCAUGCGCCCAUUAACUGCGCAUCUAAAUAUAAAAUAUAAUCAAUAUACAAAAUAAGAAAAUAGACAACGCUAACGUCACGAGUAUUAA